Pan troglodytes (chimpanzee) is the source of this 3181-nucleotide long non-coding RNA. RefSeq lists it as uncharacterized. The record is from RefSeq and is a predicted model, not a curated record. The transcript has 10 exons. NCBI's taxonomy places the organism in Eukaryota, Metazoa, Chordata, Mammalia, Primates, Hominidae.
AGACACCAGAGCUGUCCCUCUCUCGGCUUGCACUAAGGAGGAGGUCACGUGAGCACACAGUGAGAAGGCGGAGGACCAUCUGCAAGCAGGAAGAGAGCCCUCGCUAGAACCCCCCACGGUGGCAUCUGAUAGUGGACUUCUAGCUUCCAGAACUGAACUCAUAAAUGUCACAUCAGGCUGCCUCUUGGUGAAUUUUUAAUCAACAGGGAGAAUUUCAGCUACAAAUAGACCAAGAAUCAAGAGGCCCGCUAUUGAUCAGUCAAAGUGGCACUUAUGAACCUGAGGUUGAAGCAGUUUGGAUAAAAGGAUUCUGGGCUUUCUAUGGCCCCAGAGACAUCUUUUUCCAUCAAGUCCAGACUUGCUGAUCAGUGCAGCUGAGAACAUGUUGAAUUUGAUGUGCCUGUGGAUAUUUGAGUCUGGAACAUUGAAGACAAGUUUGGUCUGGAGAUGUAGACUGGGGAUAUCUCAGCACACAGAUGAUAACUGAAAUGAUGGAGCGGAUGAUAUAACCUGGAGAGAAUCUGGUGUGGGAAGAGUCUUCCCUGAGGUGGCCGAAAGAUGUAAUUCUUACUCCAAAGACUGAAAUAGAGACAAGAGAAGCUGAAGUUACAGGGUUUUGUCAUUGGGAAGACAGUAGAGUGUGUCAUAUCCCAAGAGUGAAGCAAGGACAAACCAAAGAACAACUGGGAAGAUCUGGGAGAAAAAGGAGACAGGGUCUUACUUUGUUGCCAAGGCUGGCUUCAAACUCCUGACUUCAAGAGAUCCUCCCACCCCACCCACCCAAAGUGCUGGGAUUACAGGUGUGCGCCACUGUGCCUAGCAGGUCAUCAGUCUUUGAGAUGCUGUUGACAAAGCCAUUUGAUGAUAUCAAAGAAGGAAUGAAGCAUAAGGUUUUUUGGCCCCUCUGCUUGGGAUGCCACUUGCAGGCAGAACUCUCCACAGUUUUACCAUCCAGUGAAGAAUCACCUGUUUAUAGCCUGUGUAAAAUCAAUGAUGCUUCUUGGAAACAAGUCUAUUCUCAUAGACAUCUUGACGUUGCAUGGCUGAGUCAUUUGUCAGAGUGCUCUGGCUUUAAAUAUACCUCCAAGUCUUAAGACACAUGAACUUUUGAGGUGCAGGAAUCAGCAAUUCUAAAAGGCACAAGUCUUCCAUCCAAGGUCCUGGUUGCCUUCUAGAUCCUGUUCUAACAAACAGAUCUCCAAAUCUCAUUUGCUUCACCCCAUACAAGUUUAUUUGCCGAGAACAUCAAGGUGAAGGCCUGUGCUGAGUGCCACAGGGAACAGCAUUUAGCAACAUCAAGCAGGAGAGGCAGAGAAAGCAGCAAUAACUCCACAUAUGACUUGGAAAUUGGCUCAGUCUCGUGGCAGGAGAUGUGUGUUUUUAUGGUGUUAAGUGUGAAGGAGUGAAAGCAGCCAGUGAUCAGGAGCGCCAACGCAGCUCCUUCCCAGGAGCCUUCCCGGCUGCUUCCCCUUUGUGGGAGAUGUGCUGGAAGGAGUACUAAGAGGAGAGAUGCUUUCCUUUAGUAGGAUGGCAGCUUUGGGAAAGAGACGCGAGAGUGAGUGUGCAGAGAGCUUGUUCUGAGUGCAAGAGAUAAGUGGGAUGCAUCCUGUCUUAGAGGCAAUCAAGCAAGAGAGGAUGGGGUGGCAGGCACUUCAGCUCUCUAGCCCCUCCUUCCAGGGCAGAGCCAUUUUAGAGACCCACGCCUUUUCCCCAUCCAUAGGCUGCUGAAGCCAGAAACAGCCCAGCACUUAAGAGGGGAGCGGAAAAUGACAUCACUAGUCUGGGCAGUAUCUUCUCAGCCUAAACCAUUAUUCCCUCCCUCCCUUUUAACAAAGACUCCUAGUUUCCCACCCAAUAUGCAGUCUCCAUUUUCUUCCUAAUUGAAUGUUGACUUCUUCCCCCUGGGAAACAAGAUAUCAAGGAAAAUGAUGCACCUUGUUUGCCUCCCUUGCAAGUGGGCCUGGCCCAUCCAUCAGAGUAAACAAAAUUAUUUCCCAGAUAUGAACAACUAUGUCUACAGAAAUAAACAAAUGUUUUUGGAAUCACUGCCAUAGAGAAUCAAGGCGAAGAAAGUUUUCUGAAUUCUUCAGCCAGCAGAACCCAAAACUCUGAAUUUUCCUAAAGAGGGGGUGACUUUGCCUUGGGUUUGCCAUUUGAGCAGAGAUCAGCUAGUGAGUUGUAUCUCUGGUCUGCAGAGCUUGUGAAUGGUACAGAAAAUGAGGAGGAUUUUGAAGCCAGCUAAGGCCAGGAGAGGAGAGCCUGACGUUUCAAGAACUCAAGGUUCAGUACUAGGUCUCAGAGGAAGACUUCAUUUUAGCUUUGAUGCUCUCCGCUAGGCACAGAGAAUCUUAAGCAGAAUGACAAGACCUGCUGUUUGAGUAACUCACGUUCUGACCAGAGAGACAGACAUGUCAGCAAGAGGUUACAAUACAGUGUGCUCAGAUUCUCCGGGACUUGGAGCACUUGUUCCAGAAAGGAAGGCCAGGGAAGUCUUCCAGGAGUAGAUGGCGCCUCUGCUGACCUGAAGGGUGAGGAAAAAGUGUCCAGUUGCAGAAGAAAUGAUGCAACUGAGUCACAGAGAAGUUAAGUAAUCUGCCUGCCGACACUCGGGUCGAUGCCGCCUCAUUCCAUCACUCGGGCAAUGGAGCCAAAGGCCACGUUCACAACCACUAGGCUGUCCCAGCCCCUUGGUGUGAUUUGUCCCUUCCUAAGCUUCAAAGAUAGCCAGGCAGGAGUUAUUUUAUAGAAUGGAAGUAAUUUCUAUGGGGCCAAGCAAUAAUAAGGAAAUUGGAAGUCAAGGACUAUCUUCCGAAUGGAGAAGAAGCUCCAUCAACCACAGAAGGAAAUUAUGAUCACUCCUGCCAUCCUGCUCCUUUGUGUAUCCAGGAUGAAGGGGAGAAUUGGAGUCUUGCACAAUGAAAGGACAACAUUGCUGCCAAAACAAUCCAUCGUGACUGUAGACAUAUUUUCCACCCUCAUCCUGCAGGUUUUCUGCCAGUUGUUGGCCCCUCAUCAAUUUUGCUCCUGGGCAGUCUGAGGUGGAACAUAAUUUUGUAUAAAACAAAUUAUGCUCAACCUCACUUAUAAUCAGGGAAAUGUGAGUCAAAACCACAAUAAAAUAUCACCUCAUGCUGUUUAGGAUUGCUGUUAUCAAGUAGACAAGAAAGAAGUGUUGGUGAGG